This 87-nucleotide transfer RNA is filed under the name Vibrio vulnificus. Its description in RNAcentral is "tRNA-Leu". It matches the Rfam family "tRNA". From Rfam's summary of the family: Transfer RNA (tRNA) molecules are approximately 80 nucleotides in length. RNAcentral also lists the same sequence under 20 other names. The record is from RNAcentral. Lineage: Bacteria; Pseudomonadati; Pseudomonadota; Gammaproteobacteria; Vibrionales; Vibrionaceae.
GCCGAGGUGGUGAAAUUGGUAGACGCGCAGCCUUGAGGUGGCUGUGACCUAACGGUCGUGCGGGUUCAAGUCCCGCUCUCGGCACCA